This 512-nucleotide ribosomal RNA is filed under the name Botryotinia sp. FL-2010b. RNAcentral's name for it is "eukaryotic LSU rRNA". The stretch from base 151 to 304 matches the Rfam family "5.8S ribosomal RNA". Lineage: Eukaryota; Fungi; Ascomycota; Leotiomycetes; Helotiales; Sclerotiniaceae. The record is from RNAcentral.
UUACAGAGUUCAUGCCCGAAAGGGUAGACCUCCCACCCUUGUGUAUUAUUACUUUGUUGCUUUGGCGAGCUGCCUUCGGGCCUUGUAUGCUCGCCAGAGAAUACCAAAACUCUUUUUAUUAAUGUCGUCUGAGUACUAUAUAAUAGUUAAAACUUUCAACAACGGAUCUCUUGGUUCUGGCAUCGAUGAAGAACGCAGCGAAAUGCGAUAAGUAAUGUGAAUUGCAGAAUUCAGUGAAUCAUCGAAUCUUUGAACGCACAUUGCGCCCCUUGGUAUUCCGGGGGGCAUGCCUGUUCGAGCGUCAUUUCAACCCUCAAGCUUAGCUUGGUAUUGAGUCUAUGUCAGUAAUGGCAGGCUCUAAAAUCAGUGGCGGCGCCGCUGGGUCCUGAACGUAGUAAUAUCUCUCGUUACAGGUUCUCGGUGUGCUUCUGCCAAAACCCAAAUUUUUCUAUGGUUGACCUCGGAUCAGGUAGGGAUACCCGCUGAACUUAAGCAUAUCAAUAAGCGGAGGA